AGCAGCCGCGGUAAUUCCAGCUCCAAUAGCGUAUAUUAAAGUUGUUGCAGUUAAAAAGCUCGUAGUUGAAUUUCGGGGUCAGCAGGUCGGUCGUGCCAAUGGUAUGCACUGGCCUUGCUGAUUCCUCCCUCUUGAUGAGCCGUAAUGCCAUUAAUUUGGUGUUGCGGGGAAUCAGGACUGUUACUUUGAAAAAAUUAGAGUGUUUAAAGCAGGCAAGCGCUUGAAUACAUUAGCAUGGAAUAAUGAAAUAGGACGUUUGAUCCUAUUUUGUUGGUUUCUAGGAUUGACGUAAUGAUUAAUAGGGAUAGUUGGGGGCAUUAGUAUUCAAUUGUCAGAGGUGAAAUUCUUGGAUUUAUUGAAGACUAACUACUGCGAAAGCAUUUGCCAAGGAUGUUUUCAUUAAUCAAGAACGAAAGUUAGGGGAUCGAAGACGAUCAGAUACCGUCGUAGUCUUAACCAUAAACUAUGCCGACUAGGGAUCGGAUGAUGUUAAUUUUUUAAUGACU
Molecule: ribosomal RNA, 506 nt
Filed under: uncultured Glomus
Lineage: Eukaryota; Fungi; Glomeromycota; Glomeromycetes; Glomerales; Glomeraceae
Description: SSU rRNA
Rfam family: Eukaryotic small subunit ribosomal RNA
Source: RNAcentral